Molecule: ribosomal RNA, 317 nt
Filed under: uncultured eukaryote
Lineage: Eukaryota
Description: partial 18S ribosomal RNA
Rfam family: Eukaryotic small subunit ribosomal RNA
Source: RNAcentral
CCCUUAGAUGUUCUGGGCCGCACGCGCGCUACACUGAUGCAUUCAACGAGUCUAAAACCUGCUCUGAUAGGGGUGGGUAAUCUUUUGAAUGUGCAUCGUGAUUGGGAUAGAUGAUUGCAAUUUUUCAUCUUCAACGAGGAAUGCCUAGUAAACGCAAGUCAUCAGCUUGCAUUGAUUACGUCCCUGCCCUUUGUACACACCGCCCGUCGCUCCUACCGAUUGAAUGAUCCGAUGAAUAGUCCGGAUUGCGAUCGACCUCGGUUAAUCGCGAGAAGUUCCGCAAAUCACUUCACUUAGAGGAAGGAGAAGUCGUAACA